Canis lupus familiaris (dog) is the source of this 83-nucleotide non-coding RNA. NCBI's taxonomy places the organism in Eukaryota, Metazoa, Chordata, Mammalia, Carnivora, Canidae. The record is from Rfam.
GCCUGGGUGGCUCAGCAGUUGAGCACCUGCCUUCAGCCCAGGGAGUGACCCCAGAGUCCUGGGAUCGAGUCCCACAUCAGGCU